RNAcentral lists this ribosomal RNA (376 nucleotides) under uncultured bacterium. RNAcentral describes it as "bacterial SSU rRNA". It matches the Rfam family "Bacterial small subunit ribosomal RNA", at positions 521 to 896 of the family's 1533-position model. The record is from RNAcentral.
UAAGACGAAGGUGGCAAGCGUUGUUCGGAGUUACUGGGCUUAAAGCGCGCGUAGGCGGCUUGGUAAGCGGAAGUUGAAAUCCCUCGGCUCAACCGAGGAACUGGCUUUCGAACUGCCUUGCUUGAGUGCAGAAGGGGAGAGUGGAAUUCCUGGUGGAGCGGUGAAAUGCGUAGAUAUCAGGAGGAACGCCAGUGGCGAAAGCGGCUCUCUGGUCUGCUACUGACGCUGAGGUGCGAAAGCUGGGGGAGCAAACAGGAUUAGAUACCCUGGUAGUCCCAGCCGUAAACGAUGGGCACUUGGUGGGGGUAUACCGAUGAUUUCCCUGCUGUAGCAAAAGUGUUAAGUGCCCCGCCUGGGGAGUACGGUCGCAAGGCUG